This 391-nucleotide unclassified non-coding RNA is filed under the name soil metagenome. Its description in RNAcentral is "partial contains 5.8S ribosomal RNA, internal transcribed spacer 2, and large subunit ribosomal RNA". The stretch from base 1 to 122 matches the Rfam family "5.8S ribosomal RNA", at positions 35 to 154 of the family's 154-position model. The record is from RNAcentral.
GAUGAAGAACGUAGCGAAAUGCGAUACUUGGUGUGAAUUGCAGAAUCCCGUGAACCAUCGAGUCUUUGAACGCAAGUUGCGCCCGAAGCCAUUAGGCCGAGGGCACGCCUGCCUGGGCGUCACACGUCGUUGCCCCCCCAUCUACUCCUUCGGGAUUGCGGGGGGCGGAUGAUGGCCUCUCGUGCGCCUCGUCGCGCGGUUGGCCUAAAUGCCAAGUCCUCGGCGACGCACGCCACGACAAUCGGUGGUUGCGAAACCUCGGUUGCCUGUCGUGUGCGGUCGUCGCGCAUCGAGGGCUCGAAAAAAUUGCCGGGCUUCGGCUCGACUUUCAACGCGACCCCAGGUCAGGCGGGGUUACCCGCUGAAUUUAAGUAUAUCAAUAAGCGGAGGA